CCACCUGACUCCAUACCGAACUCAGAAGUGAAACGCAGUUACGCCGAUGGUAGUGUGGGGAUUCCCCAUGUGAGAGUAGGGCAUUGCCAAGU
This 92-nucleotide ribosomal RNA is filed under the name Glaesserella parasuis. The record is from RNAcentral. Lineage: Bacteria; Pseudomonadati; Pseudomonadota; Gammaproteobacteria; Pasteurellales; Pasteurellaceae.